UUGAUGACAGCGGGGUGCUACGCCUGAUUCUAACCCUACGACGGUGUGGCUGAGAUUUAUACCCAUAUAACCUGAUGCGGGUAAUGCCGCCGAAGGGAGUCGCAAGUAUGUGAGU
Prevotella sp. CAG:1031 is the source of this 115-nucleotide regulatory RNA element. It matches the Rfam family "TPP riboswitch aptamer (THI element)". From Rfam's summary of the family: Vitamin B(1) in its active form thiamin pyrophosphate (TPP) is an essential coenzyme that is synthesised by coupling of pyrimidine and thiazole moieties in bacteria. The previously detected thiamin-regulatory element, thi box was extended, resulting in a new, highly conserved RNA secondary structure, the THI element, which is widely distributed in eubacteria and also occurs in some archaea. The record is from Rfam. NCBI's taxonomy places the organism in Bacteria, Pseudomonadati, Bacteroidota, Bacteroidia, Bacteroidales, Prevotellaceae.